AGGGUUUGACAUGCUAGUGGUAGGAAACCGAAAGGUGACCCGACCCGUUCGGGGAGCUAGCACAGGUGCUGCAGUGGCUGUCGUCAGCUCGUGUCGUGAGAUGUUCGGUUAAGUCCGCUAACGAGCGCAACCCUCGCUGUGUGUUAUAUGUGUCACAUGGGACUGCCGGCCUUAAGCCGGAAGAAGGUGGGGAUGAUGUCAAGUCAGCAUGGCCUUUAUGUCCUGGGCUACACACACGCUACAAUGGGAAGGGACAAUAGGUUGCGAAGCCGCGAGGCGGAGCCAAUCCAGCAAAACUUCCCUCAGUUCAGAUUGCAGGCUGCAACUCGCCUGCAUGAAGUUGGAGUUGCUAGUAAACGCAGGUCAGCCAUACUGCGUUGAAUACGUUCCCGGGGCUU
RNAcentral lists this ribosomal RNA (398 nucleotides) under uncultured Anaerolineaceae bacterium. RNAcentral describes it as "bacterial SSU rRNA". It matches the Rfam family "Bacterial small subunit ribosomal RNA", at positions 976 to 1382 of the family's 1533-position model. The record is from RNAcentral. Lineage: Bacteria; Bacillati; Chloroflexota; Anaerolineae; Anaerolineales; Anaerolineaceae.